UUCUUCGGGGCGGGGUGUAAUUCCCCACCGGCGGUAUAGUCCGCGACCCGCUUAGGCGGCUGAUCCGGUGACACGAUUCGUGAAUUCCGGAACCGACAGUAUAGUCUGGAUGGUAGAAGAA
This 121-nucleotide non-coding RNA is filed under the name human gut metagenome. RNAcentral's name for it is "FMN riboswitch (RFN element)". It matches the Rfam family "FMN riboswitch aptamer (RFN element)". Rfam says of the family: The RFN element is a highly conserved domain that is found frequently in the 5'-untranslated regions of prokaryotic mRNAs that encode for flavin mononucleotide (FMN) biosynthesis and transport proteins. This element is a metabolite-dependent riboswitch that directly binds FMN in the absence of proteins. The record is from RNAcentral.